This 321-nucleotide ribosomal RNA is filed under the name Triticum aestivum (bread wheat). RNAcentral describes it as "partial small subunit ribosomal RNA". Lineage: Eukaryota; Viridiplantae; Streptophyta; Magnoliopsida; Poales; Poaceae. The record is from RNAcentral.
AUGAGGACCCCAUGGGCUUCUCUAGCCAGAAGCACAUUUCAGACAUGGAUGGUGCUUGGAAAUCUCAUCAAAAUCAGUCAUCACGUUUGGUGUCUGCAGCUAGUUGCAACAACAUUGCACGCAGAGCACUCAUGGCAUUGUCCCCGGCCCAACGCUCUGGCUGAUAGCUACACACUAACCACACGCAUAUGCACUCCCCUGAGUCCUUUCUUCCUUCCUACUAUAAAUCCAUGGCCUGCUCAGCACAAACUUCAUCUCAUCUCAAUCAGCAUCACAAUCUACAACACACCUUCAGACUUCCAGAGCCAAAGUGAAAUUUAG